AUCAGACACGGUGUAAGCCGCCGCGGUAAUACGGAAGGUGCAAGCGUUAUCCGGUUUUAUUGGGUUUAAAGGGUGCGUAGGCGGUUUAUUAAGUCAGUUGUGAAAUCCUAGUGCUUAACGCUAGAACUGCAAUUGAUACUGGUAGACUUGAGUUAAGAAGAGGUAAGUAGAAUUUAUGGUGUAGUAGUGAAAUGCUUAGAUAUCAUAAGGAAUACCAAUAGCGUAGGCAGCUUACUGGUCUUUAACUGACGCUGAGGCACGAAAGCGUGGGGGAGCAAACAGGAUUAGAUACCCUGGUAGUCCACGCCGUAAACGAUGAUCACUAGAUAUGCACGAUAUAUCGUGUGUGUUCAAGCGAAAGCGUUAAGUGAU
This 372-nucleotide ribosomal RNA is filed under the name uncultured bacterium. RNAcentral describes it as "bacterial SSU rRNA". It matches the Rfam family "Bacterial small subunit ribosomal RNA", at positions 492 to 868 of the family's 1533-position model. The record is from RNAcentral.